Molecule: ribosomal RNA, 484 nt
Filed under: uncultured bacterium
Lineage: Bacteria
Description: partial 16S ribosomal RNA
Rfam family: Bacterial small subunit ribosomal RNA
Source: RNAcentral
AUUGAACGCUGGCGGCAGGCCUAACACAUGCAAGUCGAGCGGAUGAAGGGAGCUUUCUCCUGGAUUCAGCGGCGGACGGGUGAGUAAUGCCUAGGAAUCUGCCUGGUAGUUGGGGAUAACGUCCGGAAACGGGCGCUAAUACCGCAUACGUCCUGAUGGAGAAAGUGGGGGAUCUUCGGACCUCACGCUAUCAGCUGAGCCUAGGUCGGAUUAGCUAGUUGGUGGGGUAAAGGCCUACCAAGGCGACGAUCCGUAACUGGUCUGAGAGGAUGAUCAGUCACACUGGAACUGAGACACGGUCCAGACUCCUACGGGAGGCAGCAGUAGGGAAUAUUGGACAAUGGGCGAAAGCCUGAUGCAGCCAUGCCGCGUGUGUGAAGAAGGUCUUCGGAUUGUAAAGCACUUUAAGUUGGGAGGAAGGGAAGUAAGUUAAUACAUUGCUGUUUUGACGUUACCAACAGAAUAAGCACCGGCUAACUUCGUG